AUUGAACGCUGGCGGCAUGCUUUACACAUGCAAGUCGAACGGUAACAGGCCUUCGGGUGCUGACGAGUGGCGCACGGGUGAGUAAUGCAUCGGAACGUGCCCAGAGGUGGGGGAUAACGCAGCGAAAGCUGUGCUAAUACCGCAUGUGAUCUGAGGAUGAAAGCGGGGGACCAAGCAGCAAUGUUUGGCCUCGCGCCUCUGGAGCGGCCGAUGUCAGAUUAGGUAGUUGGUGGGGUAAAGGCCUACCAAGCCGACGAUCUGUAGCUGGUCUGAGAGGACGACCAGCCACACUGGGACUGAGACACGGCCCAGACUCCUACGGGAGGCAGUAGUGGGGAAUUUUGGACAAUGGGCGCAAGCCUGAUCCAGCAAUGCCGCGUGCGGGAAGAAGGCCUUCGGGUUGUAAACCGCUUUUGUACGGAACGAAAAGGCUCUGGCUAAUACCUGGGGCUGAUGACGGUACCGGAAGAAUAAGCACCGGCUAACUACGUG
Molecule: ribosomal RNA, 492 nt
Filed under: uncultured bacterium
Lineage: Bacteria
Description: partial 16S ribosomal RNA
Rfam family: Bacterial small subunit ribosomal RNA
Source: RNAcentral